RNAcentral lists this transfer RNA (78 nucleotides) under Actinomadura madurae. RNAcentral describes it as "tRNA-Thr(cgt)". It matches the Rfam family "tRNA". Rfam says of the family: Transfer RNA (tRNA) molecules are approximately 80 nucleotides in length. Their secondary structure includes four short double-helical elements and three loops (D, anti-codon, and T loops). Further hydrogen bonds mediate the characteristic L-shaped molecular structure. tRNAs have two regions of fundamental functional importance: the anti-codon, which is responsible for specific mRNA codon recognition, and the 3' end, to which the tRNAs corresponding amino acid is attached (by aminoacyl-tRNA synthetases). tRNAs cope with the degeneracy of the genetic code in two manners: having more than one tRNA (with a specific anti-codon) for a particular amino acid; and 'wobble' base-pairing, i.e. permitting non-standard base-pairing at the 3rd anti-codon position. Lineage: Bacteria; Bacillati; Actinomycetota; Actinomycetes; Streptosporangiales; Thermomonosporaceae. The record is from RNAcentral. RNAcentral also lists the same sequence under 2 other names.
GGCCGCCUUAGCUCAGUCGGCAGAGCGAUUCACUCGUAAUGAAUAGGUCGUCGGUUCGAUUCCGACAGGCGGCUCCCA